Molecule: transfer RNA, 92 nt
Filed under: Acidithrix sp.
Lineage: Bacteria; Bacillati; Actinomycetota; Acidimicrobiia; Acidimicrobiales; Acidimicrobiaceae
Also listed under: 1 other name
Description: tRNA-Ser
Rfam family: tRNA
About the family: Transfer RNA (tRNA) molecules are approximately 80 nucleotides in length.
Source: RNAcentral
GGAGAGGUGCCAGAGUGGUCGAAUGGGUCUCACUGCUAAUGAGUUAACCUGGGAAACUGGGUUCGAGGGUUCAAAUCCCUCCCUCUCCGCCA